RNAcentral lists this long non-coding RNA (1387 nucleotides) under Canis lupus familiaris (dog). Its description in RNAcentral is "lncRNA (ENSCAFG00000055019.1)". The record is from RNAcentral. Lineage: Eukaryota; Metazoa; Chordata; Mammalia; Carnivora; Canidae.
AUGCCCAGCAUUCCCGGCGCGUGGCAGAGGAGCGAGUAUGCGGAAGGACCUCUGAGCAGCUGCCCGCCCGCCUGCCCUCUCUGUGCUUCAGCCUCAGGGGCGGGGCAGGGCUCGCAUUCUGGUAGCCGCAGUCCCCGCUGGCUCUUGGAGCUCUUGCCGGGUGCCACUGGACAGAGCACACCUCACGCACGUGUGGGUCAAAGCAUCACACCUGCGGCUGUAUUCAAGCAGGAGGUCAUCGAUUCCCUGCCCAGAGCCCCUGGGACGAAGCAUCAGGCUGCCUGCUGUUGCCGCUGGACGUUUGGAGGGGUUCAGGCCAAGGAAGGCCCCUAGCAAGGGCUACCAGGAUGGGUGCUGUCUGCGUGGGGUGAGCCACUGGCUUGUAGGGCUGGAGCAGAGCUAGGGGCCUCUGAGCUGUGCUGCUCUGGGGAUAUCAUCUGCACACUAAGGACCCCCCCCACCCCCCCACCCCCAGCCACCCCCAGCCAGUGGGACGCUGCUGGGCCUUCUCUCCCUUCCCACCUCCUCCCACCCCACUGAAGGCCUGGAGAUGCCUGUUUGUGAGGGAGACUUGCACCCCAGCCUUGCCCCGUCUGGUCUGGCCACCUCCUGUGGUAGGACAGACACCCACUGUGCUGGGGAGCAGCAGUCGCCUUGCAUCAGGGAGACCAAAGUGAUCGGCAGCGAUGACUCAGCAGAUUCAGGCAGGCCUGAAUGUGCCGGAGCUUCCAGUUCCUAGGCCAAGUGCAGCAUCACCCACACUGGCGCUGGCUUCCAGGCCCGACUUCACGGCAGGCUGCUGCUCCACUGGCCCUGGACGGUCAGACCACUUCUAUGUCCAGCUUCGUCAGUGUCCCAGGACAGCUCUCCUGCAAUCCGGGAAAUGCGUGCACGUGGUCCGCGGGAAGGUGGCUCAGCAGAGCCAUGUUUCCUGGUAAAAGCACACGGGGCGCCGCGCUGCCACCCACAAAAUGGAGCAGAGCUCUUGGAAGCAAACCUGCCAUGUUUUUCCAGAUGUUUUGAAACGUUGACUCUAAACAUGGCCCAGAGUAGUUAAAUGGGAAGUGGAACUUUUGUUUAUUCUCUUAAGUGAUGACUACUUGUCACAUCUCCGCAGCCAGACGCACACUCAGCACCGUUCCUGGGCGUGGAGCACGAGGGCUUCGGGCCUCGACACAGCACAGGGUGAGACCAUGCCAUCAGAGAAGAUGGGCACAUUCCUGACCUGGACGCUGGGCAUUUUUGUUCUUAUGGCUCUUUAAGAAGAAAGUCUGUGCCGAUGGAGUGGGGCUGACUGGCCAGCGUGGGGGUCCCAGCAUCACCGACAGGCUCAGGCUCCGUGGUCUCUCCUUACAGGCACAGGCCUCCCCUAGGGGGCCUGGCUCUC